AAGUCGUAACAAGGUUUCCGUAGGUGAACCUGCGGAAGGAUCAUCAAUAAUCCAAAUAAUUAAUGACCUAAAAAAUCAUUAAUUUAACCUUCUUGUGAACUGUUUAAUGUCUUUUUGAUUGGGAGUUAAAUUUUGUAAUAUCUUUGGAUAUAGCAAAACUCCCAAUUGAACAUUUUUAUAACAAACUAUUUUAUUUUUUCAAGUUGAUUAUUUUAUACAGAUUAAACUGUACUAAUAUAAAUACAACUUAUAGCGAUGGAUCUCUAGGCUCUG
RNAcentral lists this unclassified non-coding RNA (273 nucleotides) under fungal sp. RNAcentral describes it as "partial internal transcribed spacer region". The stretch from base 1 to 46 matches the Rfam family "Eukaryotic small subunit ribosomal RNA", at positions 1786 to 1831 of the family's 1831-position model. The record is from RNAcentral. RNAcentral also lists the same sequence under 1 other name. Lineage: Eukaryota; Fungi.